Molecule: long non-coding RNA, 894 nt
Filed under: Anas platyrhynchos platyrhynchos (common mallard)
Lineage: Eukaryota; Metazoa; Chordata; Aves; Anseriformes; Anatidae
Description: lncRNA (ENSAPLG00000024371.1)
Source: RNAcentral
GGAAGUUAUUAUUAGCCAGUGGGCUAAUAGUAAAACAUGCUGAAAUACAAGGAAAGGAACAGGCAAAACUCUGAUAAUCCACAAUACCAUAGCUUUCAUGUGCUGGGGCACUGUGCCAGUGUUGCAACUGCUGCAGAAGGUUUUUCUUUUAUCUCUGCAAACUGCCUAUCUGGAAAUUAAUUACAAGAUUUGUACAGCAGGUCUCAAAUCUGAUGUGCUGCUGACAUUAAUGGGAUAUAUAUGUACAGUGGAGGACAGCAUUCACAAGUCAAAAUCUACUAUGAGGUUCUGUGAAGAUAAUGUAACUGAAGUUUUCUCUUCUACACCUGAACUUGAAAGAAGUAAUGACAUUUUAUCUCAUGAAUAAUGUUUUAGUUACAGUUCUAUACAAGGUUUAAUUAAGUCCUUGAAAGUUAAACCUAUCCAAAGAGGUCCAAAAAUUUCUGGGCUAAAACUAUUUUUAGGAUAGAUAUUCUUGUAAAGUGUGCUGCUUCUUAGGCAUGACUUGGUGCAUCCAUUUCCCUUCUUCCAUGUUGUCCAAACUCCCUAUUAUCAUGCCUAGCUUAAAGGGAAUGAACACAUCAGUACUUUGGAGUGUAUGACAGUGAAUAUUUGUGGCUGAACAUAUAUAGUAACAUGAAUCUGGCUGGUGAAUGCCUUUAGCUCCUUACCAAUCAGCAUAUUUGCAGUGAGCAUCUGGGAUUUGUUGACACCUAGCAGCCUGGUUAGUUCCACAUGUAUGCAUAACAACAUUCAACCUUAUAGAGUUUUCAACCUUACAGAGUUACCAUGUGUCAACAAAUUUUCAGAGAGGCUUCCAAGAGACCAACUGUAUUUGUACUGCACAGCUGUUUUAUGUAUAUGCAAUAAAAUAAAUCCAAGCAAUCUGGGACA